This 460-nucleotide ribosomal RNA is filed under the name uncultured bacterium. Its description in RNAcentral is "bacterial SSU rRNA". It matches the Rfam family "Bacterial small subunit ribosomal RNA", at positions 331 to 792 of the family's 1533-position model. The record is from RNAcentral.
CCAGACUCCUACGGGAGGCAGCAGUGGGGGAUAUUGCACAAUGGGGGGAACCCUGAUGCAGCGACGCCGCGUGAGUGAAGAAGUAUUUCGGUAUGUAAAGCUCUAUCGGCAGGGAAGAAAAAGCGCGCGAGCGCCCUUGACAGUACCUGACUAAGAAGCCCCGGCUAACUACGUGCCAGCAGCCGCGGUAAUACGUAGGGGGCAAGCGUUAUCCGGAUUUACUGGGUGUAAAGGGAGCGUAGGCGGCCAUGCAAGUCAGAAGUGAAAACCCGGGGCUCAACCCUGGGAGUGCUUUUGAAACUGUCAGGCUGGAGUGCAGGAGAGGUAAGUGGAAUUCCUAGUGUAGCGGUGAAAUGCGUAGAUAUUAGGAGGAACACCAGUGGCGAAGGCGGCUUACUGGACUGUAACUGACGUUGAGGCUCGAAAGCGUGGGGAGCAAAUAGGAUUAGAUACCCCCGUA